AGCAGCAGCCGCGGUAAAACGUAGGUGGCAAGCGUUGUCCGGAAUUAUUGGGCGUAAAGGGCUCGCAGGCGGUUUCUUAAGUCUGAUGUGAAAGCCCCCGGCUCAACCGGGGAGGGUCAUUGGAAACUGGGAAACUUGAGUGCAGAAGAGGAGAGUGGAAUUCCACGUGUAGCGGUGAAAUGCGUAGAGAUGUGGAGGAACACCAGUGGCGAAGGCGACUCUCUGGUCUGUAACUGACGCUGAGGAGCGAAAGCGUGGGGAGCGGACAGGAUUAGAUACCCCAGUAGUCCCUGUCUCUUAUAC
This 303-nucleotide ribosomal RNA is filed under the name uncultured bacterium. RNAcentral describes it as "partial 16S ribosomal RNA". It matches the Rfam family "Bacterial small subunit ribosomal RNA", at positions 507 to 807 of the family's 1533-position model. The record is from RNAcentral.